GCUUCGAGGAGUCUGGCGGCGCCAUCACGCCGGCCUCUGUCCAAGAGGUCAUCGCGCUCAACAGGCCCUCACUCCUCGGCUCCGCCUGCGGAGGUCGUCGACGCCAUCGCAGGGUGCCGCUUUGAGGCCGGGGUUGAAGCUGCCACCGAGGAGGCCAUCUUGACGCAGAUGUUGCAGGCACUCCUGACGUUCAUGCGCUCCCCUGCGAUUAGUGACCAACACAUCUGCUCUGUCGUGAGCAUGUGCUUCGUGUCAUACAGGUCGCGGCCAAAGGCGAGCUCGUGCAGCGGUUCAGGUGCAUCCCAUAGGGUAUGGUGA
This 318-nucleotide ribosomal RNA is filed under the name Triticum aestivum (bread wheat). RNAcentral's name for it is "partial small subunit ribosomal RNA". Lineage: Eukaryota; Viridiplantae; Streptophyta; Magnoliopsida; Poales; Poaceae. The record is from RNAcentral.